Suricata suricatta (meerkat) is the source of this 394-nucleotide long non-coding RNA. RefSeq lists it as uncharacterized. The transcript is spliced from 2 exons. Lineage: Eukaryota; Metazoa; Chordata; Mammalia; Carnivora; Herpestidae. The record is from RefSeq and is a predicted model, not a curated record.
UAAUGUGUUUUUCUUUCCUCUUAGCUCUUUGCUCACAGUUGUCCUGAAAGGAGUUGACCUUUUCUUCCCAAGAUGCUUGAGAGCCAACAGGCUGAGAAGGUUAAGUGAGGUGUUCACCCUCAUAUUGAGCCCAGCCUCUUACUUGACCAGCAAGUUCCCAGAUAGUGGCUGCUCCAUCAGUUUGGAUCCUGGGGAAGGAUGAAGCUGAGCAGAACCCCCAGCUGAUUGUGAUGGACAUACAGCACAAGCAAGAAACAAAUCUUUGUCAUAAGCCACUGAGAUCUUGGCAUUGAUUGUUACUAGCUUAAACCAAUUGUUUAUUAGCAUAACUUAGCCCAUCCUAAUACAUGAAGUCCAUAAAAUUGAUGAACAAAUAAAGAAGAAUAGCACUCUG